AACGUAGGAGACAAACGUUAUCCGGAGUUACUGGGCGUAAAGAGCGCGCAGGCGGUCGUUCAAGUCGCGUGUGAAAGCCCCCGGCUCAACUGGGGAGGGUCACGCGAUACUGAUCGACUCGAAGGCAGGAGAGGGUAGUGGAAUUCCCGGUGUAGUGGUGAAAUGCGUAGAUAUCGGGAGGAACACCAGUGGCGAAGGCGACUACCUGGCCUGUUCUUGACGCUGAGGCGCGAAAGCUAGGGGAGCAAACGGG
This 253-nucleotide ribosomal RNA is filed under the name uncultured bacterium. RNAcentral describes it as "partial 16S ribosomal RNA". It matches the Rfam family "Bacterial small subunit ribosomal RNA", at positions 524 to 776 of the family's 1533-position model. The record is from RNAcentral.